This 334-nucleotide ribosomal RNA is filed under the name uncultured bacterium. RNAcentral describes it as "bacterial SSU rRNA". It matches the Rfam family "Bacterial small subunit ribosomal RNA", at positions 568 to 898 of the family's 1533-position model. The record is from RNAcentral.
CGCGUAGGUGGUAGUGUAAGUCUGGGGUGGAAUGCCCGGGGCUUAACCCUGGAAUUGCCUUGGAAACUGCAUUACUUGAGUCAGUGAGGGGAGGGUAGAAUUCCGUGGUGUAGCGGUGAAAUGCGUAGAUAUCAGGAGGAAGGCCUGUGGCGAAGGCGGCCCUCUCGGUGCUGGACUGACACUGAGGCGCGAAAGCGUGGGGAGCAAACAGGAUUAGAUACCCUGGUAGUCCACGCCCUAAACGGUGGGCACUAGGUGUAGAGCUCGUAAGGGUUCUGUGCCGAAGGGAAACCAUUAAGUGCCCCGCCUGGGGAGUACGGGCCGCAAGGUUGAA